Molecule: ribosomal RNA, 427 nt
Filed under: uncultured bacterium
Lineage: Bacteria
Description: bacterial SSU rRNA
Rfam family: Bacterial small subunit ribosomal RNA
Source: RNAcentral
UGGGGAAUUGUUCACAAUGGGCGCAAGCCUGAUGACGCAACGCCGCGUGGAGGAUGAAGGUCUUCGGAUUGUAAACUCCUGUUGCCCGGGACGAAUGGCUCCAACCUAAUACGUUGGAGUGUGACGGUACCGGGUGAGGAAGCCCCGGCUAACUCUGUGCCAGCAGCCGCGGUAAUACAGAGGGGGCAAGCGUUGUUCGGAAUUACUGGGCGUAAAGGGCGCGUAGGUGGCCCGCUAAGUCGAACGUGAAAUCCCCGAGCUCAACUCGGGAACUGCGUCCGAUACUGGCGGGCUUGAAUCCGGGAGAGGGAUGCGGAAUUCCAGGUGUAGCGGUGAAAUGCGUAGAUAUCUGGAGGAACACCGGUGGCGAAGGCGGCAUCCUGGACCGGCAUUGACGCUGAGGCGCGAAAGCUAGGGGAGCAAACGG